UGCCUCUCAACAAGCGCUCUUUUUACGUCAUUAGCUUGACCCAAUAAAGCUCAUAUUCCAUCUUCAAUGUUGGUGUCUCUCUUGCUUUCAUCACACCAACUCAUCAAAUGCUUUCGAUCCACCUUUUUGACUCGCCUAGAAUAUGGAGCCUCAAUCUCUAUUACUCCAUUCUCUUUGAAGCCUUUCACAACCCACAACUUGUUGUUGAAUCUCACAGGGGUGCCAAGUUUGAGUUGUUCAUCUUUAUAGUCAUGAUGAACCGUCCUUCCUUCAUCAACUUUAUCUUCUUCCUUAACUUGCA
Molecule: long non-coding RNA, 301 nt
Filed under: Vigna radiata
Lineage: Eukaryota; Viridiplantae; Streptophyta; Magnoliopsida; Fabales; Fabaceae
Description: long non-coding RNA (VRAD_LNC008561)
Source: RNAcentral